CAGGCCCUGCUUUUGACUUUUGGUGGCCUC
RNAcentral lists this non-coding RNA (30 nucleotides) under Homo sapiens (human). Lineage: Eukaryota; Metazoa; Chordata; Mammalia; Primates; Hominidae. The record is from RNAcentral.